RNA transcript from Cryptomeria japonica (Japanese cedar), 3671 nucleotides. It is a transcript of the gene named pentatricopeptide repeat-containing protein At1g79540, with no coding region annotated. The transcript is spliced from 4 exons. NCBI's taxonomy places the organism in Eukaryota, Viridiplantae, Streptophyta, Pinopsida, Cupressales, Cupressaceae. The record is from RefSeq and is a predicted model, not a curated record.
UGUAGUAAAAGUUUGAAAAAACAAAAACAUUCGAGCUACUCCUGUGCUGGAUUACCCUUCACAUAACUAAAAAUAAUAAAAAUGGCCAUUAGGGCUAGGGAAACCCACGACCUGAAUAGUGGAAGCAGCUCUGGAAUGGAGUGAAAAUGCCUUGGGCUCUCUGCAGAUUCACGUAAGUGUAAAAAUCCUUACUUAAGCAGAAGGAAGAAAUCGAAUGUGGUCAGCUCUUCAUGGGGAUGUCAAGGCAUUCGCUAUAAAUCAUAUUUCUUUUAAGUUUUUUUCUCUAUGCCUUGUUUUUUUGAGAUGAAAGGAAAUGCAGUUGCAUAUUUGAUCAAUAUCAGAAGCAGAAACGGUAAGAAAGCAGCCUAAACAAAUGGUUACAAUUAUGUGCAUUGUGGACGAAAUAAAGAACAAAUCAGAUGAGGGGAAUACAGAGGCCGUAUUCAGUUCUUUUGCAUUUUUUCCCCGGAUGGAAGGCCGACUUUCUAGAUCUGAGAAUUGGGCAUACAUUUAUGGGUACUACAGAGGAAGGACAAGGGAGUAUCUGGAUAAAUUUUUUCUGUGGAAACAUUCGAAAUGGCUAUUUACGGUGUAGGGAUGGCAAUGGUAGGUUAUUUUCAAAAGAGAGUUCACAGAAAGAUGCGGAAUCCUUGUCUGUCGGGGAAAGUGAGGAAGUGAUUUCGUCUCAGCAUGGAGAUGUUAAGGAAGAUGGUGGACAUUUGGGAAAGAGAAAGGGUUUUAGAUCUUCGGGAAAGAAGUUAGAAAUUUUGAAUGAAAUUCAUGAUAUCCUGAAGACGGGUUCCCAAGCAGACAAGCUUCUUUAUCAAAUGGGUUCUUCAAUUUCUGCAGAAAUUGCAUAUAUGGUGAUGAAGAGUGAGAAAGAUGUUAAGAUGAUUUUCAGGUUUUUUUUGUGGGCUAUGCAGAAACAAUCCUUGAUUAGUUUUCGAGGUUUGCAGAAUUUGAUGAUUGAGAUAUUGAAAGAAAGUAGGGAAUUUGAGGUCGCUUGGGAUUUACUUAGAGAAGUGAGGAGAGAAGGAAAAAUGACCAAUGCUGCUUCUUUUAAUGUUCUGAUAUCGGCAUAUGGAAAGGUGGGUAUGGUGGAGAAAGCAAUAGAAUCAUUUGUUGUAAUGGAGGAGGAGUUUUCCUGCAGGCCUGACAUUUUCACCUGGAAUACCAUGUUGGAUAUUCUUGUCAAUGACCAAAUGAUUGAGAUAGCUUGGGCUCUCUACCAUAGGAUGCUGACAACAGAUUGCUCGCCAGACACGACAACUCUUAACAUCCUUAUUAGAUGUCUCUGUAAAGCGGGCAAGACUCAGGAGGCCCUUGAGUUAUAUGAUGAAAUGACUGCGAGGGGAAUCGUUGCUAAUAUGACGACUUACGGAAUUAUAAUAAAGAGUCUUUGCCAGGCUGGGAAAAUAAAUAUGGCCACCCAGCUGUUAGCUUCAAUGAAAGCAAACAAUUGCUCUCCAGGGAUUGUUAUAUAUAAUAUCAUUAUCGAUGGCUUGUGUAAAAAUGGCCAAGUAGAUCAGGCUUUUGAGCUUCUUAAUAUUAUCAAGGAAAUGAAUGUUUCCCCGUGUGAAUAUACCUACACUUCUCUGAUUCACGGGCUUUUCAGAGCCGGAAGGUUUGAUGAGGCCUGCAAGUAUUAUAAAGACUUAUUUGAGGCCCAGACUCCAAAUCUGGUAUUAUAUACAGUAAUGAUUGAUGCAUACUGUGAAGCUGGCAGAGUUGUUGAUGCUUUUCACAUUUUUAAUGAGAUGAUCAGAACAAGAUGUUUGCCUGAUACUGUCUGUUACAACACACUGAUAAAGGGCCUUUGUAAGGUUGGCCUUGUAGAUGAGGCCAGAUCUGUUAAAUCAGAAAUGUUGCAGAAAGGCUAUCUUUUAGAUGUUGUUACAUAUACCACUCUGAUUUAUGGAUUGUGUGAGACAGGUCUUGUAGACGAAGCUCAUGACAUGUUUGAUAAGAUGCCAAAAACUGGAUGUUUUCCAAAUGUUUUCACCUACAACACAUUGAUUGAUGGCCUCUUUAAAGUUGGUGAAGUGACAAAGGCAUGCAUACUAUUUUACCAAAUGGAGUUGGGAAACAGCCCGACUUUCUUUCUAAGUAUUGCUCAAGGCAGCAAACAUUUUGGAGAUAGUGCUGACCUCCAAGCUUUAGCUGAUGGGCGGUGUGGUACUGGUCGUAUCCUUGAGGCUUAUAAGCUUCAUAAAAGGUUAUUGGAAAGUGGUGCUGUGCCAGAUGUCAUUACUUACAAUACAAUGAUCAAUGGCCUAUGCAAGAUAGGUAAAAUUGAUGGAGCCUUAAAAUUUUUUAAAGCAAUGCAUGUCAGGGGUUACGUCCCAGACUUAUUCACCUACAAUACAAUCAUCAAUGGUCUUUGUUUGGUCAAUAGAGAGAAUGAUGCCUUUACAGUGUUUCAUCAGAUGGCAGAAAAAGGAUGCAGUCCCGAUUCUGUAACCAUCAAGACACUUAUGACAUCAUUAUGCCAGGAAGGGCAGGAAGGUAAAGUAGUACAAGCUUUUAACCUCUGGAUUAGUUAUAUCUCUAAGAGAUAUGGUAUAAAUAAUCGAGACUCAGACAUGAUUCAGAUUCUUUCUUAUCAAGGAAAUUUCAAAGAAGCUUUUAGAACUGUGUUGCAGAUAGAUGCAAGUCAAAGUAAUGCAGAUUCUGGAGCAUACUGUAUUCUGAUCAUCGGUCUCUGCAGAGGUGGUAGACUAGAUGAUGCCUUGACACUCUUUGCUAUUAUUCAAGAAAAUAAACUUGACGUUACAGCACUUACAUAUGUAUUUCUUAUUACUGGUCUUUGCAAUGAGGGCAAAUCAACCAGAGCUUUAGAACUCUUCACCAAUUCAGUGAAGAGGGGUAUUUUUUUUAAUUUAAACCCUGAUGUGUGCGACAGACUUUUUAGAGGCACAUAAACUUAUAAAUGAAAUGAGAUAUGCUUUUUAAUAGAAAUUAGGAGCUGAGCUCUUUUGGGCCUAGGCUGUGCUUGCUUACAGUCUGAUGCAAAAUUCUGGUCUACCAAUUUUUAAACACAUUCAAAGAUGCAGCAAUUGUAUGUCAGGAGUCCUGCCAGACUGCAUUUCAAUCAAACAGCUACCAAAUUCAGAUGAAGAGAAAGAAUGCAGAUAUUACAGCAUGUGAAAAUAGGAAGAAAGCUAAUAUAAAUGCAUGAAAGAACUUGAGAGGAUGGUGGAGAAGAGCAGACCAAGAAAAAGAGAAAAUAUAGAAUUUAAUAGGAGCUUACAUGAAAGCAGAGAACAUAAGAUGACUGUUCUUAUAUGCUAGUUUCUGGUUGCUAAAUAUAUUAUGGGCGCAAGGAUGUAUGGGAUGGAAUUUGAUGACAGUUAUCUAUCAUGGUGGACAGUCCAUUUAUUGUACUUGAGCCAGGAGUUUGGACCAUAGGUGCAAGACCCGGAAAAGACCCGGAACUCAGCAGGCUGAUAUUUGACCCAGAUUUGGACUCAACAAAUUGAAAAUACUUGAAAUAUAGAGAUUUUUUAAGGAUUUUACUAUGGGCCUUUUAAUAAUUCAACUAUAAAAGCAUAAUAAACUUGUAAAUUAAAAGCUACUUUUAUCACAUCCACAAAUAUGCGCCAAUAAAUUGACUACAAAAACAGAUUUGAGUUGCAAGAAACAACAGUUUUUUAUUAAGAGAAUAAAAAUUU